GGCGAACGUUAGCGGCGGGCUUAACACAUGCAAGUCGAGCGAGAAAGGGGCUUCGGCCCUGAGUACAGCGGCGGACGGGUGAAUAACACGUAGGUAACCUUCCUUCCAGCGGGGGACAACGGUCCGAAAGGACCGCUAAUACCGCAUACGUUCCCGUGGGACCCUGGUCCCGGGGAGGAAAGCUCCGCAAGGGGCACUGGAUGAGGGGGCCUGCGUAGCAUCAGCUAGUUGGUGGGGUAAUGGCUUACCAAGGCGAAGACGGGUAGCUGGUUUGAGAGAAUGAUCAGCCACACUGGCACUGGAACACGGGGCCAGACUCCUACGGGAGGCAGCAGUGAGGAAUAUUGGGCAAUGGGCGAAAGCCUAACCCAGGCCUACGCCGCGUGGAGUGAUGAAGGCCCUCGGGUCGUAAAGCUCUGUGGAGAGGGACGAAAACCCUGGUUUCAAAUAGGCUCCAGGCUUGACGGUACCUCUUUAGCAAGCACCGGCUAACUCUGUG
RNAcentral lists this ribosomal RNA (499 nucleotides) under uncultured bacterium. RNAcentral's name for it is "bacterial SSU rRNA". It matches the Rfam family "Bacterial small subunit ribosomal RNA", at positions 28 to 507 of the family's 1533-position model. The record is from RNAcentral.